GCACCGGCUAACUCCGUGCCAGCAGCCGCGGUAAUACGGAGGGGUGCGAGCGUUAAUCGGAAUUACUGGGCGUAAAGACGCAUGCAGGCGGCCUGUUAAGUCAGAUGUGAAAGCCCGGGGCGUUAACCUCGGAAUUGCAUUUGAAACUAGGCAGGCUAGAGUCUUGUAGAGGGGGGUAGGAAUUUACAGGUGUAGCGGUGAAAUAGCGUAGAGAUCUGAAGGAAUACCAGUGGCGAAGGCGGCCCCCUCGGACAAAGACUGACGCUCAGAUGCGAAAGCGUGGGGAGCAAACAGGAUUAGAUACCCUGGUAG
This 312-nucleotide ribosomal RNA is filed under the name uncultured bacterium. RNAcentral's name for it is "bacterial SSU rRNA". It matches the Rfam family "Bacterial small subunit ribosomal RNA", at positions 490 to 793 of the family's 1533-position model. The record is from RNAcentral.